RNAcentral lists this ribosomal RNA (43 nucleotides) under Hypericum perforatum. Its description in RNAcentral is "partial 26S ribosomal RNA". The record is from RNAcentral. Lineage: Eukaryota; Viridiplantae; Streptophyta; Magnoliopsida; Malpighiales; Hypericaceae.
AAAGUGACCCCAGGUCAGGCGGGACUACCCGCUGAGUUUAAGC